CCGAUCCAGGCGCUGUUCCCGAGGAACCCGCUCCCAAAACCGCAUUCGGCUGGGGGGCAGGACGCUUGUUGUGCCGCAACGGUGCAGUGGGUGGCAUCUGGUGACCGGUGGUCUGCAGGAACCAUGGAUCACCAGCCGUGCUGCCCGUUGCCGCUGCAGCGGCCACCGUCACCGAGGGCUGCGAGAAUCCGCGAUGGUGUCCGACGACCGUGGUUUGUCCGUUCUGCGUGGCAGUCGCGUGGCUGUUCAUAGCCUGGCCGGUCGUCGUGGUUGCCGUCUGCUUCCUCAGCAAUCCCUGCUUGAUCUCAACGGUGAUCAGAUCACCCUCGCCGGACGCCUUUCUCGAGAUCGCUUCCUUCUCCUUAUGGUUUUCCUCCGGCUUCGGCUUGGGCUUCUGGCUCUUCUCGUGGCUAGUCUUCCUGGCUUGUGCCUCCUCGUCUGCAAACAAAAAACCAAAAUGUGUACAAACAUUAGUCUUUUUCAGUGUUCAGCUUUAUCAAUUGAUGAUGUUAUUUUUAUAGGCUGAUAAUAGGAGGCAAAAAAGCAUCUAAUCUUAUCACAGCAAUCAGCUGGCCAAAUAUGUAAUUUGUUUUAUCACCCGCACACAAUUAUCAAUGGGAUUAUAUGGAUAUUUUCUCCAUUUCUGACAUAACUUGGCAAUUUGAAUAUCGAAAUUGUCACGAUAUCGAUAUCAGACAAAAUAGACGCAUUCACCGCCGAUUGAGCUGUUUUUUGCCGUAUAACCAGCCAAAUCAGUUCCCGUGAUCGGAUGAAGGCCAAACUCACGUUUAUUUAAUCAGUCAGUCAAGUCAGUGGACAAAUAACAACGAUUGCAUAAGCGGCGACUUGGAUGCGCAAUGCUAAUUGUUGGUCAACACACUCAAAAACGCAGUUCAGUGACUCAAAUGGACACAAAUGGCAUGUUAAUCGGGUGAACCGCGCGAAUCCGCUCGCCAAAUGUAAAGCAUUCGCAUGUGACGGGCAUAAUUAAACCCAUUUUAUUGGGCACUUUCAGGCUUUGGGCUACUACUGUGUGCCUGGACACGACUAUGUAUUUAGGAUGAGUCAGUUCCAUGUCGCUUUAAUUCUACCCGCGCAUCUGUACACGCAAAGAAAUUGAAAGAAAAUUGGCUUAAAUCAAAUGAAGGAUUCGCAUCACUUUCAUCCGUAAAUGUCUGUAUUUGUGAAUUUGAAUUUCAAAUGAAGUGCAAUAAAAUCAGUUUGUGCGCUAAGUGCUAC
This is a non-coding RNA of Drosophila melanogaster (fruit fly), 1239 nucleotides long. The record is from Ensembl. NCBI's taxonomy places the organism in Eukaryota, Metazoa, Arthropoda, Insecta, Diptera, Drosophilidae.